AGCCCUGAGGUGUUUUACAUGUUGGAUUGCAAAUCCAAAGUGGUAGGCUAACCCCUUCCGGGGCUU
RNAcentral lists this transfer RNA (66 nucleotides) under Rhabdosargus sarba (goldlined seabream). RNAcentral's name for it is "tRNA-Cys". The record is from RNAcentral. Lineage: Eukaryota; Metazoa; Chordata; Actinopteri; Spariformes; Sparidae.